RNAcentral lists this transfer RNA (76 nucleotides) under Candidatus Caldatribacterium californiense. RNAcentral's name for it is "tRNA-Ala". It matches the Rfam family "tRNA". From Rfam's summary of the family: Transfer RNA (tRNA) molecules are approximately 80 nucleotides in length. Their secondary structure includes four short double-helical elements and three loops (D, anti-codon, and T loops). Lineage: Bacteria; Pseudomonadati; Atribacterota; Atribacteria; Atribacterales; Candidatus Caldatribacteriaceae. The record is from RNAcentral.
GGGGAUGUAGCUCAGUUGGGAGAGCGCCUGCUUUGCAAGCAGGAGGCCACGGGUUCAAGUCCCGUCAUCUCCACCA